AAGUGACGAAAAUAGUCGUUUUCGCUUAAAUUGGAAAAGUGAGCGUUUUAGCCAAAAUUUGACAAAAUCGAUUAGCGGAAUUUAAAUAAUAAGUGGGCGGAAGAGUAUUAUUUAUUUGGACAUAAAUAAUACGAAAAUUUAUCGAGAUUUAACGAUUGAGUGAUUUUUGGGCUAAAUUGGACGAAAGAAAUGUUAGGAAUCAAAGCGAAUGGAGGUGGCAAUCUUAAGGACUAAAGAGAGCACUUUGCCAAGCUUUAUAAGCCCAUUAGCUUAUGAAUAUUAAGCCUUCAAGAACUGAUUUCCAGCAAAGAGAAAGAAGAUGAACCCAUCAUCUUCUUCAAAGUUCUCAAAAUUUCUAAGGCUUGGGGUUUAUUCGUUUGACAUCGGAUUCACGUGAUUUUCGCGGCGUCGGAACGAGGAGAAGAUUAUCUACUGAUCUAACCUAUCAAUUAAAGAUUCUUCGUUAGACAUCGGAAUUGAGUGAUUUUCGCGGCGACGGAAAGAGGGGAGGAAGACCUACUGAUAUACAGCUUCAAUUCAAGACGCAUCGACGCAGCACGUAAUCGUCGGAGUUAGCUUAACGGGGUUCGGCUAUCAUUUUAAUGUCGUGCUUAUUGGAUGGCGAAUUUUUGUUUCCUUUCAGGUUUGUUAUAUGGCGAUGUGGUCGAGCUUCCAUCCAUUGUUCUGGAAGUCUCAGUUGUGAAAGUUUCUACUUUUCUUAGAGCUGCAGUAGUUAUGGUAGUAGACUUAGUCGAUAGUAGACAGUUUAUGUUUUUCAUGUGCUCUGGCAUAAAGAUGUAUUUUUUGGAAAAUGGUUUAUCCAACAAUUUUGUAUAUGAUUACAUGGUAUUUUAAAUAGGGUGGUUUGUGUUUUUAACAGGUGCCAGUAGCACAGUUUUCAAACGUUAUAUUGCCGAUUUUCAAAAAUGUAUAAUUGUUAUUUUGCGAAAAAAUUUAUAGUGAAUUUCAGGCUUGCUACGGGAUUCGGAACUACAAUUCCCAUUCCCUAGCGCCGGU
Long non-coding RNA from Mercurialis annua (annual mercury), 1017 nucleotides. RefSeq lists it as uncharacterized. The record is from RefSeq and is a predicted model, not a curated record. The transcript is spliced from 4 exons. Lineage: Eukaryota; Viridiplantae; Streptophyta; Magnoliopsida; Malpighiales; Euphorbiaceae.